GUGACCUCAAAUCAGGUAGGACUACCCGCUGAACUUAAGCAUAUCGAUAAGCGGAGGAAAAAGAACUAACAAGGAUUCCCUAAGUAACUGCGAG
This 94-nucleotide ribosomal RNA is filed under the name uncultured Dermocybe. RNAcentral's name for it is "partial 28S ribosomal RNA". It matches the Rfam family "Eukaryotic large subunit ribosomal RNA", at positions 1 to 93 of the family's 3401-position model. The record is from RNAcentral. Lineage: Eukaryota; Fungi; Basidiomycota; Agaricomycetes; Agaricales; Cortinariaceae.